UGGGCGGAAGUAAGCUGCGCCCUGUUAGCCAGCUGCCUCUGAAGACGAACGACUUCGUCGGCCGCCGUCCGGAAUCUCCCUUUAUACUCUUCCACCUGCCUACACCAGCUAGCCCGCUGCACGUCGUGGCUCAUCUCGGCGUCUUGAAGCUGCUUCUGAAGGUCGGAGACCUUCUGCGACCAUCUCUGUUCAUCUUCGACC
This 201-nucleotide long non-coding RNA is filed under the name Elaeis guineensis (African oil palm). Its description in RNAcentral is "long non-coding RNA (EGUI_LNC006034)". Lineage: Eukaryota; Viridiplantae; Streptophyta; Magnoliopsida; Arecales; Arecaceae. The record is from RNAcentral.